This 2194-nucleotide unclassified non-coding RNA is filed under the name Hevea brasiliensis (rubber tree). The record is from RNAcentral. Lineage: Eukaryota; Viridiplantae; Streptophyta; Magnoliopsida; Malpighiales; Euphorbiaceae.
GAAAAUCUGCACUAGAUAAGGAUAGCGAAAUUUGAAAGUUGAAACUGAGGGCAUUUCCGUGAAUUACAAUCGAAAUUCAGGUAUGGAAAGGCGGCAAAUUUGUGAACUCUCUGCCUAUGAAAAGAGUGGAGGUUAGCUGGCAUUUCUGUUCCUUCUCUCAUACUUUCCUAAUUGUCUUCAUUCUCCACCCAAAAAACCCCCUCUUUUGGAGUUUUGAUCUAAUACUCUGGUAAAUCAGGCCCAUUCCCCUAAAACCCUUAUUUCAUUUUCCCCUUUUGAGUCCAAUUUCAGUUCCUCUGUGAUAUACAUCUGCUUUCUCAGGGAUGGACCAAGGUGUCAACCUAGUACUGAAAAUGAUUGAACAGGAUGGUGCAUCUCUAGCAAAGAAAGCUGAAAUGUGUAAACAGACUAGGCCAGAUUUGAUUGAUGAAAUUGAGAAAUUCUAUUGUUUGUAUCGAUCAUUGGCUGAGCGCUAUGACCAUUUGAAUGUGGAAUUAUACAAAAGUAUACCAUCAGAGUUCCAAAUGCAGGGUGCUGGCAAUGCCCCUGACACACCAAUGCUAACUCCUGAUCAAAAACUGGGAUCACUCAAGUCUGGUCGAGUUGCAUCUGUCAGCUCUGGUGGCUCUGACUCAUCAUCAUCAUCAUCAGACUCUGAAUCAGAAUCUUUCAACUCCUCUGGAAAUGCCUACUAUAGCCUCCCCAUAAGCACUGAUCAUAAGGGCCAGCAUCAGAAGAUUGAGUUGGGGACUGGUCUUCCAAAGAAGCUCAAGAUGGAUGUGGAAGAAAAUCGAGAUGGUGUGUUGAAUGUGGAAGAAAAUGAAAAUUAUGAAGAAUUGCGCAGCAAGGUUAUCAGGUACGAGGAAGAGUUAAGAGUUUUAAAGCUAAAAUUGCAGCUCUCAGAAGAGGAAGUUACUGAGUUGAAAAACGAGCUUGCAAAGAGUAAACAUUUUAUGAUACUAGCAGAAACUUUACAGGCUCAGCUUGAAUCAGCAGAUAGAGAUGUCAAAAUGAGGGAGGCUGAUCUUGAAGAGGAAAGAAGGAGAGUAAUGGCACUGCAAAAACAAGCAGUUGAUGAUAAACAUGAAUUGCAAGGUCAGCUGAAAUUGGCUCAAGAUGAAAAAAUCAUGUUGAAGGCCAUGCUUGAUUCAGAGAGUAAUCAAGUUCUAGACUUGCAGGAGAGGAUUGUCCAGUGUGUAAAUGAUUUAUCUGAUCGCGAUGAUGAGAUCAAAGCAUUAAAACUUAAAGUACUUAAUGCCGGGGAGAAUUUCUUGAUUGAAAAAUCACAUAUGCAGUCAAAGAUAUCUAGUUUGUCGGAGAGAGAGAACUUGUUGGAGGUAAGGCUCAGAGAACUGGAAUUACAAGGAAAAACCAUGGAGGAUAAAUUAAGGCAAUUCCAAACUGAGAAAAUGGAAUUGCAACUUUUACAUGACACCCACAGGAUGGGAUUGGAAGCAGUGAUCAGUCAGUUGAAGGCAGAAGUUGGUGACAGAAGUGGGCAUGUAGAAAUUCUAAAUAAAAACCUUGACAAUCUUAAAUUCAAGUAUGAUAUGCUUAUGGCAGAGAAAGAUGGGAUGAAUGCUAAGGUAAACACACUUGUUGCAGAUUUGAGCUCACGAGAAAAUCAAAUUGGACAAAUGGAGGAGCACCUUCGGCACAUGCAUAUGGAAAAUUUGGAACUCAUUGCUGGGUCUGAAAGCGUGCGAAAGCUAGUCCAUGAGCUAAGAUUGAGAGCAGCGGAGUUAGAGAAGGAGGUGGACAAGCAGAAGGGUGAGCUUUCUGCUGGUGCUGAGGAGAAAAGGGAAGCAAUAAGGCAGCUUUGUUUCUCCUUGGAUCAUUAUAGGAGUGGUUAUAAAGAGCUUUAUGAAGCAUUUCUUCGGCAGAAGCGACAUGCAUUUAUGGCUUCCUAAGGUCUCCCAGUUCUAUCAUUGGACUAGUAAGGUUUCUAUAGCUCAUUUGCAUGUUUUGUAUGUGUAUGAAAAAAUUGUUGUUUGUCGUGGAACUUUUUUCCUUGUUGGAAAGUUUUGGACCUCCAAGCAUUGUAUUUUUGGGUCAUUAUCAAUUUAGAUAUUUGAUUAUAGCUAAUCUUGAAAUUCCCAUGAUGCACUGUAUUCUGAAUCUUGGAGAUGAAUACAAUCAUCUUAUGAAAUGGCGUGAGAAAAGAAAGUUGAAGCUUUUUCUCAUCUGGCUGUAU